Molecule: unclassified non-coding RNA, 459 nt
Filed under: Hevea brasiliensis (rubber tree)
Lineage: Eukaryota; Viridiplantae; Streptophyta; Magnoliopsida; Malpighiales; Euphorbiaceae
Source: RNAcentral
GCACUUCCUAAUGCUAAACCCUAAAUUAAAGAUCUUAAUUUAGAAAUUAAAUAAAAAUAAUUCAUAAAUUGAAUCUUUCUUGGCUGCAUUAGACAUCCAUUAGGUGAAAGUUUUUACCUAUUAUCUAAUACCAUUGAAAACUGUAAAAUAAAUAUAUGGAAUACGCCACCAUAGCUUUUCUCCUUUUUCCACUUCUUUAUUUCACAAAGUACAUAAUUUAGUAAAACCAUCUUAAGAAAACACAAACCAAAUAAAUUUAAGAUAUUAAUCACUCAUUCUUCAAUUGCCACCAAAUAAUGAAAGUAGCUUUAGAAACAUGGAACUAAUUCCCUGUGUUUGUUACACUCAUUUAAAAUGAUCAAUCUUUAGUUGAUUAGUCAAAAUUCUAACAUGACCACAAGAUGAUCUUAUCAAGACAAUGAAAUAAAAACUGAAGAGAAUUGUGCUUUACCUUGUAGA